AUGGCUAGUAAUUGGAGUUUCAGACAAUUUGGGGAGGUAAUUUGUAGCCAAUAUCCUUGGGGUUUGCUUGAUGAAGUGGUUUACAAAUACUAUGAUGGGGGAAAGAAUUGGGUGACAGUUAGUAAUGAUGAAGAGCUAGCUACCAUGUUUGUUAGGCAUAAAGAGAAAGAUAAUUUCCAUGUGAGGCUGCAAGUUGAUGUGCUUGAGCAGGCAUUUGGACCUAGGAUGGCGGGUGCAACAUCUCGGGGAGAAUCAAGUCGUCGUAAUGGCAUCUCUAGCCAGAACAGUUCAGUUGGUGGACGGCGACGUGGUGGCUCGACAAGUGUGGGCAACAGCAGUAGGGUCCUCCUUGAAGCGGAGCCUGAUGGCUACAAUUCUGGGGUUGAUGAAGAGAAGUUAUAUUCUGAUGUUAUUCAGAAUUUACGACGGGCACCUAGGGCUGAAAACCAAGAUGAGGCUCACAAUGCAGUCCGUGUGGAUGAUGACGCGAUGGGUGAGGACGAAGACCUUGCAGCUGUUCAAUGGGACCCUUUGAACCCUCAAAUGGAAGAAGGUACAGUUUUUGCAUCCAUGAAUGAGUGUAGAAAUGCACUUGUGACAUACUGCAUCAAGGUAGAACGUACUUUCAAAGUUGACAAGAGCGAUCAAGUACGUUACAGAGUGCACUGUCCGACUGAGGGUUGUCCAUGGAGGCUGCUUGCAGCUAAAAUGCGGAAUAGCACUAAUGUUCAGGUCAAAGUGAAUCCUUUUAAGCACACAUGUCAGGAAUCAACCCUUAGGAAGGAUACAAUCAGUAGAGCCAAGUCAAGAUGGGUGGCAGAAGAAGUAAAAAAGUGGGUGAAAGAAAACCAACAAGUGGGUCCAAAGGAAUUGCAGAAGAACAUCAAAGAUAAGUUCAAGAUAGAUUUACCAUACAUGAGGUUGUUCAAUGGUAAACAACAUGCUAUGGAUUCUAUUUAUGGAAGGUUUAAAGGACAGUUAGUAGCAGCUUGUGCAGUUGAUGCACAUAGUUUUGUAUUUCCAGUUGCCUAUGGUGUGCUAGAGACAGAGUCUGAGGAGAGCUGGACUUGGUUUUUGCAUAAUCUCCGCCGGGCUAUUGCACAUCCCAAUGGGUUGGUCAUUCAUACAGAUGCCUGCAAAGGUUUAGAAGUGGCCGUGGACAAUGUGUUCCCUGGAGUAGAGCAUAGGGAAUGCAUGCGUCACCUUGCUGCAAAUUUCAUGAAGAAAUUCAAAUGA
Molecule: ribosomal RNA, 1236 nt
Filed under: Triticum aestivum (bread wheat)
Lineage: Eukaryota; Viridiplantae; Streptophyta; Magnoliopsida; Poales; Poaceae
Description: partial small subunit ribosomal RNA
Source: RNAcentral